GUUUCUCUCCUUUCCAUUUUCCUCCCAUUUGACUUGUUUUUCUUGCCCUUACCACCAAAGAAUCUUUAUUUUUUUUUCAUUUUGGUUUUCUAUAUUUUCUCUCCCAUUUUCUCUACUUCACCUUUUUGUGCCACCACUUUUAUUUCAUUUUGUCACCGUCCACCAUUGCAUAACCACACUUGCACCGUUUCCCUUCACUUUUCCCCCUCUUGUGCCUCUAUUGCUCCAUCACCGGACCUCCAUCACCUCUACGCCGCCACUGUUGCCAUCUGUUUUCUUCCUUUCUUCUCCUCUCUUCUUUUUCUUUGAUUGUAAAUGAAUCUCUUUUAUUCAUUAUCCCUUUUUUCAAGUGGAUAUAUAUAUUUUAUUUACUUUUCAUACUCAACUUAUCUUCAUGUUUUUCUU
RNAcentral lists this long non-coding RNA (405 nucleotides) under Gossypium raimondii (Peruvian cotton). Its description in RNAcentral is "long non-coding RNA (GRAI_LNC010003)". The record is from RNAcentral. Lineage: Eukaryota; Viridiplantae; Streptophyta; Magnoliopsida; Malvales; Malvaceae.